GCUGCCUCUGCUGCCAGGGGACACCAACUCAAAAGCACUGGGCACAAAAACUCCCUCCAGCUGGAGCCUGAGGGCUCUCCCCACCCCUGCCAGCAGCUCUUCCCUGUGUGGAGAUGCAGCGGCUGGAGAAUGGCUCUGUUCAGACCGUGAGCAGACUGAUUUAUGCUCGACCUCUGCAAAGGCAGGCACCACACUGCUGCCUGUCUUCCCUGGAGUUCUUCAUGACAGAAAAGCCUACAGACAAGGAAAUACAAUCGGGAACAGCUCCACCUGGUGACUGCUCACAUUUCUGCUCAAAAGCCUCCGUUUUCUGUCAAAAUUAGCAACCUGAGGUCUGACUCCUUGGGAAACCUCCUGUGGCCAUGAAGACCAAGCAGCACAAGCAAGACUUGGAGGGUUUGGUCCUGCAGAUGGCUGUGGAGAUGUCCUGGGGAGAACAGAACCUGCUGGAUGCUUCAGGAAGAAUUAUUUACCUGCUGCAUCCAUUUUUUUUUUUUUUUUUACUCAUGAGCUGCCUGAAGGGGGAAGUAGGAGAACUGACUCCACCAGUGCUCAGGACCCAUCCUCCCUCCAGGGGAUCUCUGCUGUCCAUGGGCCAUCGAGGCUCCCUGCAGGGCUGAUCCAAUUCCAUCAUCCAUGGGAGAUGCUGCACCCAGGGGAGGAGCCCAGCAUUCCCACCUGGAUAAACCCUGGGAUUCAGAGCCCAGCACAGCCUGUGUGCUCUGCAUUCCCACCUGGAUAAACCCUGGCAUUCAGAGCCCAGCACAGCCUGUGUGCACUGCAUUCCCACCUGGAUAAACCCUGGCAUUCAGAGCCCAGCACAGCCUGUGUGCACUGCAUUCCCACCUGGAUAAACCCUGGCAUUCAGAGCCCAGCACAGCCUGUGUGCACUGCAUUCCCACCUGGAUAAACCCUGGGAUUCAGAGCCCAGCACAGUCUGUGUGCACUGCAUUCCCACCUGGAUAAACCCUGGCAUUCAGAGCCCAGCACAGCCUGUGUGCACUGCAUUCUCAGAGGAACACCAGACCCAUCUCACACCACUGGAGCCUCCUACAGGAUCAUCUCUGCUCCAACAGAGCCACAUCUGUCACUGCAGGAGGAUUUAAUUGCACUGCUCCCAACACCCUGACCAACAGGGUGUCAGGUUGUGCUCUGACUCUGUCAUGGUUUUUUCUUUUUUUGUUUUUUUGCUUUUUUGUACUACUACAUUUGUAUAUUUAAUAUUUCUAGUAAAGAACUGUUAUUCCUAUUCCCAUACCUUUUCCUGAAAGCCGCUUAAUUUCAAAAUUAUAAUAAUUCAGAGGGAGGGGAUUUACAUUCUCCAUUCCAAGGGAAACUCUGCCUUUCCCUGGCAGACACCUGCCUUUCCAAGCUAAGACACAGGGCUGCACUGAGGGCUGGAUUUGGAAAUCACGGCAGGCACAGCUAAGCAGAGCUUGCAGCAUGACUGCGCCAUUCCCUGCCAGGGAUGUCUCCACACAGGCACAGGAGCAGCCAAACAUCCUUGCCUGGCUGGUUCAUGUGCUCAGCCUGCAGCCAGGCUGGCUGUGCUGCUGAGGAGGUCAGGAGAGCUGCUGUGUGGUCCCUCCACCCCACACGUCCUGUGCCUCCUGCAGCAGCAAGCCUGCAUUUUCAGAGCUGCAGCACUGCCUCUGCUCCCCUCUCCCACUUCCCUAGGGGUGCAUAUUCACUUGUGUGAAUUGCACUUGUGAAAAUGCACCUGGGGAUUCCAGCACUGGGGAAGGCCCUGCCCUGGGUUAGGGGUGAUGCUGGAUGAAAAUUUGGGAUCGCCUCACUUGGUGGCAAGUAAGAUCCAGAUCCCUUCUGUACCACUUUGGAAGGACACAGCUGACACAAAGCUGAGGUUGUUGCUUAAUUCCUGUAGUUUCAACUCAAACUCAAACCAUAAAAGCCAUAAACCAGGGUUCUUUAUUUGUGAAAAAUGGAUUAAGCUGUGAGGGGUUUGAGAGUUUGACUUUGACCUGCUUUUGUUUUUCAAACUUGCAGUUAGAUUCUGAAGUGCUUAGCUGGCAGUUCUGAAAGCAGCUCGGGGAUUUUACAAUGAUUCUUGGAGGGGGGUGGGGGAUGUAUUCAUGUGGGUCAGCUCAUAAGCCACCUUGAAGGGUUUUGUUUUCAGAAACUGGAGCUAUUGAAAAUGGAAAACACUUAUGACCUUUCAUUCGGACUUCCCUUACAUUCAGGGAUUUUCCUUCUGUUGAAUGGGCAUUGACUAGUGCCUUUAAUUUUUAUUUUGUUGUCUGUUAAUGCCCUCUUCAACUUUAAUUUCAGGCUGAAGUAUUCUCUUCCCUAACCUUUCUAUGAAAAUGGCCAUCUGAUGUACCUUGUGGCUGAGCAGAUGUUAUCUAUGUUUGGUAAUGAAAUUCUGCCCUGAGUAAUUGGACAUUCUUCCUGGUUCCUUGUAAUUAAGGCAGAAGAAAAGAACAAAACCUGCUGAUUUGAUAGGAGUAAUUGCUUCAUUAAGUUAUUUGCCUCCUUACCAUAACCAUCACCCCAACGGGAGCAGCCUGACCAUCAGAUCAUACAUGAUGAUCCUUUAGUGCUGUGGGGUUUUGGUGCUUUGUUGUCAGAUGGAAUCUCUGGGAAAAAAGUUAGGAAACACACAGCUAAAUUAUUUACCUCUUAACCAUAUGCAGUUAAGACCACAGAGGGCCUGGCUGUGCUGUGUCCUAAGCAAAUGAAUCAAGCUCUGGAAAAAGCAGAGAGAGGGUGACGAGGCUUUAGGUCACCGCAGCUGCCUGGCCUCCUGCAUCUGAGCAUUGUGGAUUGAUGCUGACAGGCUGAACAUCUGUGUUUUCCUACUGUGGAGCAAGAAGGGGAGAGAGCUGCAUGAAAUCCUGGCCAGUGGCAAGCAAAUGUGGUUCAGGACUGGACUAUGGCAAGUUCUGGCAGUGGUGGUAGCUGGUGCCAUUGCUGUUGUUUGUGUUUAGCCAUGCUGGGUUUGGCAGUCAGGUUUGCACAGACAUUUGGGGACACAGGGACUUACAGGUGGCCACACUGUCCCCAGUGACACUGAGGACAGGAAGACAGGCCUGUUGUGUGUUAAAUUACACAGAUUUAGCUGAGAUCUCAGCCCCUGUUUCCAAGAGAUUCUUCCCCAUCCAUGUGAACCUGAGCUGCUCUCCCACACAUCCCACCACCCCAUCUCAUGGUUCUUUGGUGCUCAUGAGUAACAGGUCACCCCAAAUGCACUCCAUAAACCUACCCUUACCCCUGAUUUCCAAACUGCAAGCCUGAGAGUCAGGCUGCUGCCUCACAGCAGCCACAUGAUUCAUAUGUGCCUGCAGAUGAAGUCAGGGCUUGGAGGAUUUUUGGAUGUGAAUUCCACUGAAUCAUCCCCGAGUGCUGCGGGAAGCAGUUCCAGGUCACUGCCAAUCAGUCCUGCAGACCUCUGCAUGAACAGCCUGUAUGAUCCAGGAAUGCUAUCAGGGGCUUUGAUCAUCGAGCUGAUUCCUAUCUCCCUCUCCAAAAUCUGGGCAGGUAUGUUUUCAUAAGGCUCCACUGAGCUUGGAGCAGCCAACAUUCCUGCAGCUGAAAAGUGAGGCAGCAAUGAGUUAGACAGCCCAGAGUUUUAAUCCCAGUUUGGAUAACCCCUUCUCAGAGCUGUUAAAAAUGAAAAUAUGUGUUUGCUUUUUUUUUUUUAAUAACUAAAUGAGGAUAAUGAAUGUAAGUAAGCAGUGAACUGUAUGGAUUAACUGACUGGCACAAGGGGUGCAUUGUGUGAGUGAAUGCUCUGCUAGGGCUGCAGGGGAAAGGCAGAGCCAUCAGAGGUGCCAUGAGAGUUUAAUUUCCUCAAGAAGGUGGCAGAGAGAAGGGCAGAUUCUGCCAGUGUCCAGUGCUUUUGUCCUUUCUCACAAGCAUCUCACUGUCCUGGGCACCAACAAUGAGAACUGGGCAGAGACAAUGGGGAUGGUGCCCUGCAAAGGGCACAGAGUGUGGGCUCAGACUGCUGACACAGAGCUCCUCCAGUGGAACUGAGCAGAUCCAGUGGGAUGAUGAACUCCUGACCCUUUGUGCUGGCUUGAUGAGUCCCAGCUUUUGGGUUCUGGGGUGAGUCAUGUCCCACUGCACAGGCAGCAGUGCCCAAGGCCCUCCUUGGUACCUGCCAGGGCAGCCCUGUCUCAGCCAAACCCCACAGGGUCUCAGCUCCUGUGUGCUGAUCUCCUGCUUCCUUUCUCUUGGAUCCAGGGGCUCUCCAUGCUGGGUUUUGCAGGGAUGGCCAGGCCAGAGUGCAGUGUCACUGUUCCCCUCCUGCUCAGUUUGGCAGCUGCCUGCCAGCACUGCAGCCACAAAAGGGUGAUUGGUCAGGAAAGGAGCUUGGAGGAUCAUUUGUGAAACAAACAGAGGUGGAGAGGGAGAUGGGGGGGAUUUAUAGUCCUGAGGUUCUACCCCUGUAUCAGCCGGAGACGCUGUUCCCCAAGGUCUGCUCUGAUGCACCUGGACAGGUCCUUGCAGUGUAAAUUCCUGCUUCCCCUUGUUGCUGGACACCCAGGGAGUUCAGUUCUCUGCAUGGCAGGCACUUCUGCCCACCAGUCAAUGCCUUGGAACCCCAGGAACCCUGAGCCUCACCUCACCUCUCUCUGGGAAAACUCCAUCCUCCUCCUCUUUUGUGGGAGAAGCUCAGUCAGAGAGACAGAAUGAGUCAGUCAGAGGCAGUGACACAGCCCAGCAUUCUCAAAUGUCUUGGGACAUUUGUAUAAUUCCUUGUAACAGUUUUUUUGGGUUUUUUUGCCAUGGAGCUCCUGCUUUCCUUACUUGUACCCUUCCUCCUCACUCCAACGUGCAUUUCUGGGUGCUGCUGCCUCUGCUGUUCUCUCCCUCCCUCUGACCCUUUCCUGGGCCUCUGGCUGCCGGCCUCAGCCCACGGUGUGGAGCUGGCAGUGCUUGUCUCUCCCUCCUCUGAUCACUGCAGUGUUUAGUUUGGGAGAUUGUGUUUCUGCAAGCAGGACCCCCACAUACUGGGGAACGUGGCUCCCUGGAGGAGGAUGCUGGGGGAGAGAGCACAGACCCCUUGCAGCUGAUGCCUUAAGAUUUCAGCCUUUACAUUUUUCAGAUCCUGUACUGCAUUAGUGCAUAACUCUAAAUUCCAUAGAAAGUGUUAGCUACUGUCUUCACACUUUGGUCAGACAGAACAAUUCCUCUGGGCCUGGAACUCAAGGACACCCUGCAGCCUCAGGCACUGGAAAGUAUAAACAAAAGUGAAUUGGGGGGAGCAAACUGUGGGAACGUGACUUCAUUACCUGAAGCUGUAAUUGGAGGACUAACCCCUGAUAUGUAAAUGGACCAAACUUAUAUCUGUCUGAAAAACUCAUGACCAUCUUGGGUGUAGUCUCUGUGAGGCUUUUGACUGCCCAAGGUGUAUGAAUUGCAGGCCUUUAAUAAAUACACACUUUAUUCUCCUAACCUUGUCUAGCCUCUGUUCUAGGGAGCAUCACAGCCAAUGCUUUUCAUGCCUGCAACAACUCUAACUCCUGUGCUGCAGGAAGAACCAGCUGCUGAGGGCACCACAGCUGGGCCAGGCUCAGCAGCUGCUGCAGGAGGUGCAACAUCUGGCUCAGAGCAGCCUGCCCAGGCUCAUCUCUCCAGAGGUCUCUGCUGUGUGUGGAUCUGGGCACCCCGAGGUGGGACAAGCGAGGCUAAUGCAGCCUCUCUGAUGGGUGCUGUCCUGGGGUGACUUUUUUAAUGCAUGUAUCCAAAAUAAUCUGUUCUGUUUAUUCUGUAUAUUAAGUUUUACACCUUUAAGACUGGUUCUGAGAGCUGAGGAGAGGAGAGAAGAAGCACUGAGUUUGUUUUCAGAACCUGCACUGCCUCCUCCACGUUCUGCUCCUGGACUGUGCUGUCUGCAGCACGGACAGACAGCAGGACAGAGAUCUCCCGUGCUUUUAGUUGGUUUUAGCUGGCUGAGGCAGAGAAGCUCCCUCGACUGUUUUAUUUCUUUCCUUUUUCUUGGAACUGUUUGAACCUGCUCUGGACUGAAAACCCAGAGGAGCAGUGGGAGCUCACACCUGUGAGGCCCAGGAUGGCAUUUCCAGCACAGGAGAAACUGAUAGGAGACUGAGCCAGCCCAGCUACACCCACAGCAAGGACUCUCUGAAUUUGCCAUCUCUUCAGAACAGCGAGAGGUUUUGUUGUUUCAUAUUAUUCAUUUUUUGUGCUUGUGGAUACUUUGUUAAAUAAAUAGUUUUUUCCACUUUUCUCUGAGAUUUUUUCCCCAGACUGAUUGGAGGAGGGGCUGUUUGGGUUUGCUUCCCAGAGUGACCCCAUUUGGAGAUUUCCUCCCAAAUUUGCCUUAAACCAGGACAGCUCUGUGCCUGUGCCAGGGCUGUGCACCCCAGUGCCAGGGUGGGUGUGUUUGGCAGGGGGUGCCCGGGGCUGGGGCAGGACGGGUGUGGGUGCCAGGGCUGGAUGUGUGAAGCUCACACAGUGCCUGCCAGAGCUGCAGGCAGGCUGAGCCUGCAGUCCACAUCCCUCCCUUUCAGGAACAGUAAAUUCCCUCAUUGACUUACGAAAAAGCAGGGAAAAAAAAAAAAAAAGCUCUAAAUGACUUACCUGUUGGGAGCCUGUGGGCUCUGCAUUGUAUUAAACAUUAACCUGCCCUUCUGAGCCAAGUGACUGAUUCUCUGGGCACUUCUGAGGCUGGGCAGGCAAAGGAAAGGAUUCUUUGUCAGAGAGUAUUUCAGAAAAUUAUCCCUUCAGCCAUUUUCUGUCUCAUCGUGUUUGUUUGGCCCUGCAGUAGGACUCCUGCCCCACAAUCUGCUGUUUGUGUUUGUGCAGUGGAGCUGAUCAAAUGGCCAAACAGCUCCCAACAAACUGCUCCAGCCACAGCAGCCCUGGGACCGUGGCACAGACACCCUCUGCACGAGUAAUCACACUAAGGGCUGGACAUGGAGCUG
Molecule: long non-coding RNA, 6911 nt
Organism: Prinia subflava (tawny-flanked prinia)
Lineage: Eukaryota; Metazoa; Chordata; Aves; Passeriformes; Cisticolidae
Exons: 3
Source: RefSeq, a predicted model, not a curated record